AGCUAUCCCGGCGGGCCGCGCGCGCGGCCGCGUUUGAAUGGCCCUGAGUGGGACUCGGCCCAGAAGCCGAGGGACUCUCUAGGCUGCCGGGCGCUGGUCGUCAGCGCCGAGGCUGGGCUGAGGCGCCGCGGUACCAUGAGGCGCCGGUACUUAAGAGAUUAUGGCAUCAGAAACCCACAAUGUUAAAAAACGGAACUUUUGUAAUAAGAUUGAGGAUCAUUUCAUUGAUCUUCCUAGAAAAAAGAUCUCUAAUUUCACUAAUAAGAACAUGAAGGAGGUUAAGAAAUCUCCAAAACAGUUGGCUGCUUACAUAAAUAGGUUUCUCAGGACCAUGAAACAAUGGCCCAAGUUUUGUUCAGCAGGAAUAUGAGAUUGAAUGUAGCUUUAACUUUCUGGAGAAAGAGAAGUAUAAGUGAACUUGUAGCUUAUUUGUUGAGGAUAGAAGAUCUUGGCGUUGUGGUAGAUUGCCUUCCUGUGCUCACCAAUUGUUUACAGGAAGAAAAACAAUAUAUCUCACUUGGCUGCUGUGUUGACUUGUUGCCUCUAGUAAAGUCACUACUUAAAAGCAAAUUUGAAGAGUAAGUGCUAAUCUGAAUCUUGAUUCAUUUUUCUUUUUCAGCAUCCUUGAUUUUGUGCUUUGUGAGUACAUAGUAGAUUGGGCUCCAUGAGACAUGCAAGGUUUCUGUUUUCAAGAAGCUAAUAGUACAAUUAGGAAAAGAAUAUGAAAUGACUAAAGGACAAUUAUAAAAGCAUCUCUGAACAAAUUACAUGAAAUAUACUUUUGUGUAAUAGAUCAUGAAGGUAACAAAUUUUUAAAAGGGAAGAGACCAAUGUGUGUGUGUGUUUUUUGGGAGGGAAAGUAUCAUCUCUUAUAAGAAGGGUUCUUAGAUGAAAACACUUGAAUUUUGUAACAAAAUGUCAUUUCAGAUAUGUUAUAGUUGGUUUAAACUGGCUUCAAGCAGUCAUUAAAAGGUGGUGGUCAGAACUAUCAUCCAAAACAGAAAUUAUAAAUGAUGGGUGAGUAUACCUUUAACGAUAAACUCAUGCUGAAAUUUUCUUCAGGAAAGCAGCUUGAUUAAACUAGGUAAUAAUUUUAUCCCAUUAUCAUCAGUGUAUGGUAUUUAUUCUUUUUAUAUUCAGAGAGAUACUAACUUAAGAUACUGUUCAUUUGUGAAAACCACACCUGGAAAUUGAAUUCCAGAGCCUACUAACCUCCUGUAUCUCUUCUUCUGGCACAACCCUACCCUUCAUUUUAGAAGAAAAACACAAUAGUGGUUUAAUUCUCAUAUUCAUUAUAUGAGUAAGGGAGGAAAAAGAGAUGCCCACAGUGUAAUAAGGAAUGGAGGCACCCUGCAGGGUCCUUUAGCCUAGACAUUAACCUGAGAGUCCGGUGUUGAUGUUUACAGUUCUAAAAACUGUAUUAUUACUGCCUUGAUGUGAAAAUUCGUGGGUAUUCUACCAGAGUAUAGCCAGAUUAUCAUGAAACCACAGAAAAAUAUCUCCCAACAGUUUCCUUAAAGUCCAUAAUUUUGGGCCAUGCACGGUGGCUGAUGCCUGUCUGUAAUCCCAGCACUUUGGGAGGCCAAGAAGGGCAAAUCACUUGAGCUCACAAGUUUGAGACAGCCUGGGCAACAUGAUGACAUCCCGUCUCUACAAAAAAUACAAAAAUUAGCCAGGCAUGGUAGUGUGCGCCUGUAGUCCCAGCUACUCA
RNAcentral lists this small RNA (1711 nucleotides) under Pan troglodytes (chimpanzee). RNAcentral describes it as "retained intron". Lineage: Eukaryota; Metazoa; Chordata; Mammalia; Primates; Hominidae. The record is from RNAcentral.